CCUACGGGGGGCAGCAGUGAGGAAUAUUGGUCAAUGGGCGCAAGCCUGAACCAGCCAAGUCGCGUGAGGGAUGACGGUCCUAUGGAUUGUAAACCUCUUUUGUCGGGGAGUAAGGUGCGCCACGUGUGGCGGGAAGGAGAGUACCCGAAGAAAAGGCAUCGCCUAACUCCGUGCAAGCAGCCGCGGUAAUCGGGAGGAUGCGAGCGGUAUCCGGUUUGAUUGGGUUUAAAGGGUGCGUGGGCGGAAGGUUAAGUCAGCGGUCAAAUGUGGGGGCGCAACACCUGCCUGCCGUUGAAACUGGUCUUCUUGAGUGAGCGAGAAGUAUGCGGAAUGCGUGGUGUAGCGGUGAAAUGCAUAGA
Molecule: ribosomal RNA, 359 nt
Filed under: uncultured bacterium
Lineage: Bacteria
Description: partial 16S ribosomal RNA
Rfam family: Bacterial small subunit ribosomal RNA
Source: RNAcentral